This 468-nucleotide ribosomal RNA is filed under the name uncultured Janthinobacterium sp. Its description in RNAcentral is "bacterial SSU rRNA". It matches the Rfam family "Bacterial small subunit ribosomal RNA", at positions 67 to 530 of the family's 1533-position model. Lineage: Bacteria; Pseudomonadati; Pseudomonadota; Betaproteobacteria; Burkholderiales; Oxalobacteraceae. The record is from RNAcentral.
CGGCAGCACGGAGCUUGCUCUGGUGGCGAGUGGCGAACGGGUGAGUAAUAUAUCGGAACGUACCCUGGAGUGGGGGAUAACGUAGCGAAAGUUACGCUAAUACCGCAUACGAUCUACGGAUGAAAGUGGGGGAUCGCAAGACCUCAUGCUCGUGGAGCGGCCGAUAUCUGAUUAGCUAGUUGGUAGGGUAAAAGCCUACCAAGGCAUCGAUCAGUAGCUGGUAUGAGAGGACGACCAGCCACACUGGAACUGAGACACGGUCCAGACUCCUACGGGAGGCAGCAGUGGGGAAUUUUGGACAAUGGGCGAAAGCCUGGUCCAGCAAUGCCGCGUGAGUGAAGAAGGCCUUCGGGUUGUAAAGCUCUUCUGUCAGGGAAGAAACGGUGAGAGCUAAUAUCUCUUGCUAAUGACGGUACCUGAAGAAUAAGCACCGGCUAACUACGUGCCAGCAGCCGCGGUAAUACGUAG